UUCCGGUUGAUCCUGCCGGAGGUCACUGCUAUUGGGAUUCGACUAAGCCAUGCGAGUCGAGAGGGUUCGGCCCUCGGCAGACGGCUCAGUAACACGCGGAUAAUCUGCCCUUAGGUGGAGGAUAACCUCGGGAAACUGAGAAUAAUACUCCAUAGAUCUAGGAUGCUGGAAUGCACUUAGAUUGAAAGUUCCGACGCCUAAGGAUGAGUCUGUGGACUAUCAGGUAGUAGUCAGGGUAAAGGCCUGACUAGCCUACGACGGAUACGGGUUGUGAGAGCAAUAACCCGGAGACGAUAUCUGAGACACGAUAUCGGGCCCUACGGGGCGCAGCAGGCGCGAAACCUUCACAAUGUGCGAAAGCACGAUGAGGGGAUCCCAAGUGCUUGCUCGUAAGAGUAAGCUGUUUUUAUGUUUAAAAAGCAUAGAGAGUAAGGGCUGGGUAAGACGGGUGCCAGCCGCCGCGGUAAUACCUGCAGCUCAAGUGGUGACCACUAUUAUUGGGCCUAAAACGUUCGUAGCCGGUUUGGUAAAUGCCUGGGUAAAUCGUGUAGCUUAACUAUACGAAUUCCGGGUAGACUGCCAAACUUGAGACCGGGAGAAGCUAGAGGUACUCCUGGGGUAGAGGUGAAAUUCUGUAAUCCUGGGGGGACCACCAGUGGCGAAGGCGUCUAGCUAGAACGGGUUUGACGGUGAGGAACGAAGCCCUGGGGCGCAAACCGGAUUAGAUACCCGGGUAGUCCAGGGUGUAAACGCUGCUUGCUUGAUGUUAGUUGGGCUCCGAGCCCAAUUAGUGUCGGAGAGAAGUUGUUAAGCAAGCUGCCUGGGAAGUACGAUCGCAAGAUUGAAACUUAAAGGAAUUGGCGGGGGAGCACAGCAACGGGUGGAGCGUGCGGUUUAAUUGGAUU
Molecule: ribosomal RNA, 905 nt
Filed under: uncultured archaeon
Lineage: Archaea
Description: bacterial SSU rRNA
Rfam family: Archaeal small subunit ribosomal RNA
Source: RNAcentral